AGGAUUGACAAUGGGCGGAAGCCUGAUGCAGCGACGCCGCGUGAAGGAAGAAGUAUUUCGGUAUGUAAACUUCUAUCAGCGGGGAAGAAGAUGACGGUACCCGACUAAGAAGCCCCGGCUAACUACGUGCCAGCAGCCGCGGUAAUACGUAGGGGGCAAGCGUUAUCCGGAUUUACUGGGUGUAAAGGGAGCGUAGACGGCAGGGCAAGUCCGAUGUGAAAACCCGGGGCUCAACCGCGGGAUUGUAUUGGAAACUGCUCGGCUCGAGUACUGGAGGGGUAAGCGGAAUUCCUAGUGUAGCGGUGAAAUGCGUAGAUAUUAGGAGGAACACCGGCGGCGAAGGCGGCUUACUGGACAGUAACUGACGUUGAGGCUCGAAAGCGUGGGGAGCAAACAGGAUUAGAUACCCU
RNAcentral lists this ribosomal RNA (410 nucleotides) under uncultured bacterium. RNAcentral describes it as "bacterial SSU rRNA". It matches the Rfam family "Bacterial small subunit ribosomal RNA", at positions 359 to 788 of the family's 1533-position model. The record is from RNAcentral.